UACAGAGGGUGCGAGCGUUAAUCGGAAUUACUGGGCGUAAAGCGUGCGUAGACGGUUAUUUAAGUCGGGUGUGAAAGCCCCGGGCUCAACCUGGGAAUUGCAUUCGAGACUGAAUAGCUAGGGUACGGUAGAGGGAAGUGGAAUUUCCGGUGUAGCGGUGAAAUGCGUAGAUAUCGGAAGGAACAUCAGUGGCGAAAGCGACUUCCUGGGCCAGUACCGACGUUCAGGCACGAAAGCGUGGGGAGCAAACAGG
Molecule: ribosomal RNA, 253 nt
Filed under: uncultured bacterium
Lineage: Bacteria
Description: partial 16S ribosomal RNA
Rfam family: Bacterial small subunit ribosomal RNA
Source: RNAcentral